This 497-nucleotide ribosomal RNA is filed under the name uncultured bacterium. RNAcentral describes it as "partial 16S ribosomal RNA". It matches the Rfam family "Bacterial small subunit ribosomal RNA", at positions 28 to 507 of the family's 1533-position model. The record is from RNAcentral.
GAUGAACGCUGGCGGCGUGCCUAAUACAUGCAAGUCGAGCGAACAGACGAGGAGCUUGCUCCUCUGACGUUAGCGGCGGACGGGUGAGUAACACGUGGAUAACCUACCUAUAAGACUGGGAUAACUUCGGGAAACCGGAGCUAAUACCGGAUAAUAUAUUGAACCGCAUGGUUCAAUAGUGAAAGACGGUUUUGCUGUCACUUAUAGAUGGAUCCGCGCCGCAUUAGCUAGUUGGAAAGGUAACGGCUUACCAAGGCAACGAUGCGUAGCCGACCUGAGAGGGUGAUCGGCCACACUGGAACUGAGACACGGUCCAGACUCCUACGGGAGGCAGCAGUAGGGAAUCUUCCGCAAUGGGCGAAAGCCUGACGGAGCAACGCCGCGUGAGUUAUGAAGGUCUUCGGAUCGUAAAACUCUGUUAUUAGGGAAGAACAAAUGUGUAAGUAACUAUGCACGUCUUGACGGUACCUAAUCAGAAAGCCACGGCUAACUACGUG